Molecule: ribosomal RNA, 303 nt
Filed under: uncultured bacterium
Lineage: Bacteria
Description: partial 16S ribosomal RNA
Rfam family: Bacterial small subunit ribosomal RNA
Source: RNAcentral
AGCAGUAGCCGCGGGAAUACGGAGGAUCCAAGCGUUAUCCGGAAUCAUUGGGUUUAAAGGGUCCGUAGGCGGUCUUGUAAGUCAGUGGUGAAAGCCCAUCGCUCAACGGUGGAACGGCCAUUGAUACUGCAGGACUUGAAUUAUUGGGAAGUAACUAGAAUAUGUAGUGUAGCGGUGAAAUGCUUAGAGAUUACAUGGAAUACCAAUUGCGAAGGCAGGUUACUACCAAUUGAUUGACGCUGAUGGACGAAAGCGUGGGUAGCGAACAGGAUUAGAUACCCCGGUAGUCCCUGUCUCUUAUAC